AUAUUUUCUUCUCUCACUUCAUUGUGACGAUUUUGAUAAUAGAGGACAGAACGUUUCAUUUUUUGGUUUAAAAAAAGAAACAGAUCUAUCUCCACUUCCUUUUACCCUUUUUACUGUGUUCUUUCUUCUCUGCAUCUUCACUUUGAAUUUCAUUUUUUUGUACAGUGUCAUUCUGCAAUUGCUUUCUUUGAGCACUUUCAUUGCGAUCGCUGCAUAUUAAUGGUUGUGUUAAGGGCUUUUUCUUUGUUUUGAUUCCCAUUCCCUUUAGUAUUUUUUAUUUUUUGCCUUUCCUUUCUCUGUUUUUGUUUUUAUUUUAUUCCGUUUCUUGAUAUGCUGUUUUCUAAUGCUUUUAAGAAUAUGUUAAGUCCGUGUAUUCAAAAGCUUCUUCGAGAAAGUGCUUAAUUCUAUACUUUUAUUUCGUUUGCUUUUGAAAUAUACAAGUUCACGUAUGAUUUGAUUUUCUAUGUUGUUUGAUUCUUUUUAACUUCUUUGGAUAAUGUUAUGAGUUUGAUGUGUUUUUUUUGUACUUUAUUUGUUGAGUUUACUCGCGGCCUUUUGUUUCGAUUUUUUUAAUGUUAUUUUUUUUCUUUAAUCCGUAUUUUGGAAAGUUUAUUAAUUGCUAUUACUAGCUUCAUUAUACUAUUCAUUUUUACUUCACUGAAAUUGCAUGCGAUAAACUAAAAAUCUUCAACAAAAUGUUUUUGUUUUGUUGAUUUUGAUCUUGGUGGUUGUGGCCGGUGGUUGAUGGUUCUAUGUGUAGGGAUUAUUAGAGAUGCUACCCAUAACUGAGAAUUGAGAAGUGGGAUUGAUUAUCUUUUCAAGUUCGAGUGCUGUUAUUGUAUGGUUAAAUUGUCAAGGGAUAGUAUUGCUUUAAUGAAAAUGAGUUGGAAUUUCUGUAGAAUACUUUUGGAUAAUGAAAAAGAGAAAAGGGAGUAAGGAAAUUGAUUAUGUUUUCAAAUGAAGAAAACAAGUAAGAAAUCAAAUUGCUGUCUAUAAGACAUGCUAUCUGGAUUCGUCUUAUUAGACCAUAAUGUCUGAUUUACUUUUGGAUAAGCUUAAUGGAGGUAAAAUAUAAAUUGCUGCACUAUGAAUUGUCUAUUUGUGGUACAAGGUUAUUUAAUGCAUUCAGGUUGUACUUUGUUUGUCAUAUUGGAUUAGAAACUAAUUUUAAUUGAGUUUCUAUAAUGCUGUCAUUUGCGUUUCCUAUCUUUGUAAUAAUUAAUUGAAGUUCUAACCUAUAUUAAUGUGUAAAAUAUUGCUUAAAAAUCUUUUUCCUUGAAUUAUUCUGAAUAGGUGUACCAUCCUUAAAGUUAUAAAAGAAGUGUUUUAUCAUUAUCAUUGCUCAUUAAAUUCGAUUUCCAAAAAAAAUUUAUGCGAUUCAUUUUUUUUUUUUUUUUUUUUGGGAUAAGAAAUAGUUGUUGCCUCUUCGGUGAGCUAUGGUUUUAUUAUCAUAAUGAUAUUUCAUCCGGGGGAUUGGGGAGGGGGUUUAAUAGAUUUGUAUUGAUUGAUUUUUUUUUUUGGGGUGUAUUUACAUAUAAGGGAAUCGCUAAAAUAGUUUGAUCAAUUGACCUCUAAGUUAUGCUACCAGUAGUAAUUUGUUAAAAUUUUAUUGUUGUUGUGAUAUUUGAAUUCAGUAACUGGUCAUUAAUCUUUUCUCCUCUGAUAAUCCUUUUGGGUUCUUAGGUGAAGUAUUCAAGCCGUAAGAGUAGCACUAAAUAAAUUCCUUAACCUUGAUGGAAGUACGAGUCCAGUUUGUAAAAUUUUCUGUUCUUUAUUGGCAUGUCUGUUGGCAACUCUGUCUACAUUGUUUGCAUUCAGGAUGCAAGUGUCAAAUAUGGUAAUUGUCCACCACAAAUACAUUCAAUCUUCUUAAUUUUUCCCUUAUACUUGGAGGAUCACCCUUGAUACCCAUGUAAUCUUUGAAUUGUCCAGUACAGGUGUGCUAGGAAAGUAAAAGAGUUGGAGCAACAUUAUAUGGAUUGUUCAAGGGCUGAUAUUUUAUAAUUUUAAAGGUUUUGUAGUGAACAGAAUGGGUUUUUUUUUUUUUUUUCCCUGAAGUUUAAGGAUAUUUAAUGGAUAGUUUAUGGCUUUAAUUUUCAUUAGAUCAUGCUCUGUAUUUCUAUUUCAAAAGUAACUUAAUUGUCAGCUAAAACUGAACUCCUAGAAUUGUCACUCCAAUGCGUACCCUUUGUCUAAUCCUUAUCAGUUGAAGGAAGCAUGAUCGAACUCUAUUAGAAUCUUGAUUUUUUAAAAAAUCUUUGGCAUCAUAUUAGCUUCUGAUAGAUUAGAAUCUGUCUCAAAUAAGAUAUAAUUAAAAAUGGCUUGCAUAAACUCAUUAUGCAAAUUAGUACAACAUGAUGUAUUUGAAAAUUUUAAGUGCUUGGUUGUCUGAUUUUAUUGAAAAUUCUAGCUAUGCCAUGUCUUUGGUCUGAAAAUUGAUUUAUAUUAAGAAGCAGCUUCAAAAAAAUUCAAUAGAAGGAUAACAAAGAUAGUGGUUAAAACUUAGGUACUUCAAGGGUAGGUAAACAGACAAAAAAGUGCACCCCAUGCUGAAAAUUUUGGAAACUCUUCAUAUGUACCUUACAAGGGCCUUGAAAAGAUUAUUUAUAGUUAGUAUUUAGUAACUUUAGGGUCCUGAUCUCUGUGAUUACUUGUACAUUCCUUAUACAGAUUUCCAAGCAAGUUAAACUCACAUGCUUAUCACUUGAAUUUUGAGAAUAUGAAGGUUUUUAAAUAGAAAGUUGAAAAUGUUUAGCAGUAUACUUUUUACUUUAUUGUUUGUGUGUACUAGUCCAAUUGGACCAAGGAAAUCCAGUAGUUUUGGGCCGCUAUCUGGCUAAAGGGGCUGUUGUAAUGGUGGUGGCAUUGCAAGUAAUUUAGGUUUGCCUCAAGUCAAGCUUUACUUGUUCUUUUGUUGUUGGUGGAGAUCGAGACUUGGAAUCUUUGGUUGUAGCAUUAGUUAUUUUUAUAUGAUACAGAUAUUUAGAGCUUUUUUUGAGUUGAUAGGUGGAGCUAGAAGCUGACUUAGAGGUAUAGAGUUAUAUAGGGCAAACCUGUUGGGGAAGUCCAAAGCUAAACCUUGUAAAAAACCAUGCGAAUUAAGAAGAUUAUGUGCUUGGAAAAUUUGGGUGUAUGAUAGAUUUAGUUUAGUUAUUUUCAUUGGAUAUUCAUUAAAUUAGAGUUAAAUAUCUUACGACUCUUAUUGUUGAGAAAUAAAUACGUGAAGUCUUUGUACAUUUACCUUACUAUAGUUGCCAAAUGUUUACAUCAUUCUAGGGUUUACUUUUCAUAUUCCGUAGCACUGCUGAUUACUCUAGGAGUUGUUCUGUAAUUUUUGUUUUUCAUAUUUAUUUUCAAAUAGGCUUUGAUGGCUUCUAUGUGGCAUUUGAUUUAACUGCACAAUUAGAGAGGAGAGGAGAAUGUGAUCUUAUAGGAGCUUGAAAUCCAAUUGUUUGGUCCUGGCAUACCAGUUUAAAAAUUUGGUUCAAUGGUUCUUCAUUUAUAGCAUUGAAACAUAUAUCGACCUUUCAGUUUGGAUUAUGGGAACUACCUUUCUUCUAAUUGAAGGCAAGCACAUACUUGAGUGGUGCUAAAAUUUUGAUAGAUUUGGUCAUUUAUUAAACUUAUAGGUUUGUGGUCUUUUGUUGUGGUAGCAUAUAGCCUGUUUGAUUUAAAUAGAUAUAAGUCAUUUAAUGUCUUGUGCUUAGAAUCCUUAAUUCUUAAAAUUAUGUUUUACCUUGUGCCUCUGGCUUUCAUCUUAGGAUCAAGUAGCAUAAAUAAUUGGUUGCUCUUUAUCAAUAGCUUACCUUCUUCUGUCUCUAAUUAUUUUUUAAAAAUUAUUUCAAAUAACAGAAAUGUAGUUUUCGUAAGGGUUUAUCUACAUUCAAACUGAGUUGUUUUUUUAUUAAUCUGCAAUAUAAUGCUUUGUGCUCAAUUACUGUCUCAAUGGUUUGUUGUAUGACUUAUAAGCGUAAGGACUACAUGGUUUCUGUGGUAUAAUAGAGAAAAUUAGUUCUUGUUAAUAGUUAUCAGAAGGCUUCUCUUCCAUUAUUAGUUACUUAAGUCCUUAAAAUAUCAUUGGACAAACUAGUUAGCUAAGACAUGCUCACAUCACCUCAAUGGCUCUAAACCUCAAUUGGGAUCUUGUCAUAUCAUACAAGCUGGAAUAUCUUCACUUAUCUGGGUGUUCAUGUACUUCUGCUUGAUUAUGUUAUUCCAUCUUGGAGUUGGAAAAUUACCUAGAAUCAUAACUUUAAAUCCCUUUUCAUUACUUGUCUUAAGAUAUUGGCGAAUUUGGGGAGCACUUUGCCUGCAGUCAGCAGAUGACAACUUGUUGAAUGGAUGAACCUGUAAAGCACAAUAAUUCUCCAUAUUAUAAUUCAAGGAAAAACAGCAUAUAUGUUUUCUUGAAGCUACUGCCUUAACUUUUCUGGAAGAAAAAUUUUCUCCUGUAACUGAUACACAUACUGACAGAUCUUCUCCUCAUGCGUUUAAUGCAUCAUGUUUAAUUUUCUCAUCUUGGAAUGUGAGCCCAAAUAUCAUGAUUAUCAUGUUUAUCACUGCAAUAAAUCCAUGUGCUUUUUUAGUCAGAUGCAAUGUGCAGCCUAAGAUUGUAAAAAAUAGAUUUUUUACCUUAUAGUUCUGAAGGGGGUACUUACCUGACAUCCUGCCUGCCAACAUGCCACUUCUGGCAUUUAUGACUACAUUUCUGUUUAACUAACAUGAAUCGGAUUCAGGAGAAGAGUGCUGAUACUAUAAAAACAUUGAAAGUUUCAAGGGUUCAAGACUUCUGCACUGAGCACGAGAACUGUUCUUUACCUGCCUGCUGGAAAUUAAUUAUGCUAAUUAUGUGUAUGGAGUGGGUUUCAAAUUUCUUGUAGCUCCUUUUCCUGUGAGGAUAUUAUAGUGCGAGAAUAUGGCUACCUUUAUUGUUAUAACUCUUUUCCCAGCCUCCCAUGAUCCGAAUAGUUUUUCUCCUUUUGCUCAAUUCUACGAAGCAGUUCUAAUUAUAUUCUGUUUUCAUAUCUACGUUUGAUGUAUGCAUGAAUGCCUACAGUUGACUACAACCUUUUCACAUACUAUGUAAUUAUAUCACCUAUUAUCAUCACAUUUAUCAGUAUGAAUUAUUUGAUUUCAAGUAGUUGUUGAUUUUCUCCAAUAUAGUCAAUACAAUUACUGACGAAGAUGAAACUUAGUCGUAUAACCUUUGUAUUUGACCUUGAGGAUUGAUAAAAGGUAAAAUUACUGAGCAGUAAGGAGUACGCUGCUGAAAUGGCGACUAUACCGGCAAGGUAGUGUGCUAAGAAAGUUUUGGCCUGUCUAGAUCAGUUACUAAAGCAUGUUUUUUGUAAUGUAAAUCCCGCAAAUCAUUUCUUAUUUUCAAACGAAGUUGCUUGUUAUCCUGUUAGUGCUCUAUUAAUUAUGUAUAUUCAGUUAUCAGUUCAUUUGAUUCCCCCCCUCCCACUCCCUUUUUUUCUGUUUUAAGUUUUUUCUUUCAUCAAGGUCAAGGAUGCGAAGCUAUAAGCAAAAAGAAAACCAAUCUAAGAAUUUUUUUAUUGGAUAAAACACGUAGUAAAAUUGCAAUUUGCAGUCAGUAAAUCAAUUUUGUUGAACACAAUAAGUUCACAAGGCAGCAGAGUAACACCAGACACAAACAGUGCAUUCUAAUAAUUGUGUAAAUUACACAGGAUAACUUGUUUCUCUGUUCAUUUUACUGCAAUUCUAAAGUUUUAAUUUCAUAUGAAAUCCUUUUCUUUAUGCUGAACAUACUCUAUCUAAUAGCUGGAAUACGAAAGCUCACUGGUAGAAGCUUUAGUUUUUAAUCGUGGACAAGUUGUUGAUAGGUUGCUGAUGAUGUCCAUUGACGGUUGUCUGGCCAGCUUGCUAAUGCAGUUUGCAUCAUUCUUAGGAGGUUGGGGCUGGCUUAAUUGGAGAUGAACAGGUCAUCACCUUAAGAUUGUGGUUGUUAGAGGGUAAAGGACUUACACUCAUCACUCGAGCCAUAGGUGUAUUUAUGCAAUGUCCUGGUGAGGUUGGGAUUAGGCUAUGGCUGCAACCUCAUGAGGGAGUGCUCAUGUCCAUGCAGCAAGCCCCUAAAGAAAGGCACAUUGUUGGUAAGUUUUUGCAUUCAAGUCUUUCAUGACAUUGAUUCCUUGGUAGGUAGGGCUCCUAUGCCACACCCAAGGAGAUUUGUAAUUACUGGUAAUUUCCUUUUCCAUUUAUCUAUUUAUGAAAAAGAGGUUAUAUAGGUUGUUAGCAUGUGCCGGCUAGUAGAUUGGCUAUUGAAAAAUAAUAUACUAUUUUUGAAGGAAAAAUAAUUUAUUUUAAUUUCAUAAUGUUUUUGUUUGGGGGACAGGGAAGGGUCGAAGGGGACUUGGAUUUGCGAAGAGUGCAAAAAGGUUAUGUGUAGCUUAUUGAAGUCAUCUUAUGCUCUUUGGAGGAAUUUAUUUAUGAGAGUGUAACAAGUUAUUUGUCCUCCACCAUUGAAGUCACUCUGCCCCCUCCUAGUUUUUAUGCUUAUAGUGUGGUCAAACUUGGUGCUUUCUAAGGAGGAGAACAAUGUUCCUUUCAUAAUCUUUUUGAGUAUAGAGGUAUGAUCAGCUGAUAUGUUCAUUGCGAUUUAUUACAGUGUAUUUUGUGCUAUAUUGGCAUUUUGUGACAUUUGCAUAUUGAUGCCUCUUAUCUCUUGUUUGCUAUUUGGUCCUCACUAACAAUAACUUUAAUUCACCACUCACAAGCAAAUGGGCUAGAAAUCAAUCCUAGAUAUUGGUUUAGACUGAUUUUCCCAAUCACCACCCAAGUGGGCUGGUGAAUUACCCUUUUUUUGUUUGGCCACAUUGAGAGCACCUGCACUUCAGCUAUAAGAAAUUUAUUAAGACUUUGUUGUUGACUGUACCAUCUAUUGAAUAUCCUUGUUUGAAUUUACUGCAACAAUGCCCGUGUUAGCUUGUUAACUGUUUUAAUAAGAUAUUUGAAAGAAUAAUGAUAUUUGGAUGCUAAGUGUGUUAUCUUCCAAUGGCUAAAUCUUGGAGGGCUGACAAAAUUCAUGAUACAAGAAUGCAAAUUGAUAGCAAGGUAUAUCCCAUGAAAAAUGAUACUAAGCUAUUUCAAAAAUACAACUGCCGAAGUGCUAUGGGCAUGCAUAUGCGAUUGAGCGGAUAGAUUUGUUGAUCAGAAAAAUGAGUGUCAUGCUUUGAAGUUGUUUAUGCCUUCAUGAAUUCGACUUUAGACUAAAAAAGAGAUACUUGAUCCCAUAAUGCAAAGCAAGGAAACUUAGUGAUUGCCUUGUGGAGCAGUGUCCUGACCUACUUGAGGUAACAAAUAGUGGAUUUGCUGAAUGUAUGAUAGGAUUGUUGCUUUAGAUUUAGAGCAGAGGGUGGCAGCUUAGUUAGGAAAGACAGUAGUUGGCUAGAAGUAGUGAUGGAGUCUACUGAACAUAAACCUGCAGAUGCAGUGGAAAAACACUUGUAAGUGACUUUGGGUACACCAAAGGGAGGUUAUGAUUUUUGAAUUGUAAUGUCACUUCUGAGAGUAUUUAACCAUCCAAGGAUCUGAUUGGGGCAAAGGAAAAUCAAUCUGCAAUGUAAACCGUGAGUAUGCUUUUCUUUAAGAUCCUUUACUAAAGCUUUUCUUGAAGAUCCUUUACUAACACCAUCAAUGAUAGUUUGAUAAAAAUGCUCAAUAUCUGGCGACCCUUCCAAAUAUUUUGUGGCAUCCAGUUGGUGGUUGUGGUAAUUUUUGCCUUUCGACUUUAAAUAUUGGUGUGCAACAACAGCAUGGGAGAUUCAAGUAUGAAUCUCUGCCAUUAGCAUAAUUAUUACUGACAUUUCACCUGGUAGUUGUUACUAAUCUCUUCUACUAAUGGAAAAAUUCAGGUUUCUUGUCUUGCUAUUUAGUAGUAAAUCAUGAAUGAUGCAGCAGGAAUUCAUUUUUGUGGUCCACUUGAGGUGCCACCAAUAUACUAUCAUGGAGACUCCGAGAGGGGUUGCAGGGUUUAGUCUUGUAAAGCCUUUGUGUGAUGGUUUCUUUUACCCUUUGACUGAGAAGGAACACCAUGAUGGUUUUGCUGAAAGGGAGAUACUCGUACGCUUGGAUGGUUUUCAUUUUUCAAUAUGUUGAAGUUUUCCUCACACUACAUUUCUUGGUUAAGAUGUGCUAGAAACUCCUUGCUGAAGCUGAUAUAUGAGACGUAGCUGAAGUUUAAGACAUUUUUGUGGCAUCAUUUCUUCUCAAUCUCAUAUGGUUUGCAGGUAAUAGACUUUUUCCUUAGCACAAUGACUGGCUUGGAUUUGCACACUAUUCAUUCAUAGAUCUAUGGGUGCCCAUGCUGGAAACAAUGCUUUACACUCCAUGAGGAGAAAGAGGAGCCCCCUCGUGCCAGUUAUGUAAUACAUCUUACUGUAAAACUUGGUAAGCAUGAGCUUAACUCAGUUAAGUACCCUUAUCAAUCCCUUUGGUUCAUCUAAGAGAUCUGGUCUGUUUUGAUAUGUUUACCUAUACUGUUUAAACCAACUUCCAGCAUCGAGGAUGUAAAUCUUGCUUUACAGUUUUUCAAAAUAGAGCUGUAGUGAUAUUCCAAAGCCUUCUAAUAGGAAGUUUUUGGUAGAUUUACGUUAGCUCUCGGCCAUGCCUUGUUGCAAGCAUAUUGUUAUGCACUAGGGGAUGGGAUAUUUUUCUUAUGCUGUGUGGAGCAGCAGUAUAUUUUCAUGGUAUGUUUUUGGAAAGUGGGAAGCUGAUGACCGGCAGAGAUCUUAUAUAGUCCUUAAAUGACUAUAUCUACGGGAAGUUGGAAAUAUGACGAAUUUUCCGAUUGUCUGGCAGCACAACAUGCCAUCGGUAUGUCUUUUUCUUCCCUUCAGUGCUCCACUUGACAAUAAAUGAAGUAUCAGCCAGGUUCUUUAUUUUCUGCUUCUCUUUCUUUUCUUUGAUGGUCCUAAUUUCGGAAGAAAGUUGGUCAUAGCUUCACAUGAGCAUGGUUUCUGUUUUGUUGCUUGGUGGUUCAUCCAAUUUGUUGUGCCUCUUUUUGUAGUUUUCCAUUUACUUGGUACUAGUGAGAAGCAUGCCUUUGAAGCAGGAAGUCAUAUUGUUAUUAGGUAUUCUGAAAUCGUUCGGAAAAAGAAAAAAACAAUGUAGAUGAUCGUCACUAUAAAACCACAUAUCGCCAACAAGAUUAAAAACUUCAUCGUUGUGUUCACUGAUGUUUAUUGAACCUUUAACCAAGACAGUGAGUUGCUACAUGUCCAGUUACCUUGAGUUGUUAUGCGCAAAAGUAUAAUGAAAAACACAGUCAUGUCAAAGGUUUAAUUAUUUCUAGGCAAAAGUGGACAUUUUAAAAUAUUAGCCAAACCCAGAAGUUAAGUCUUUUUUAUGAUGUUCAUUUCCUUCACUAACUGCAAACUAUGGUUUUUUUUUUUUCCUUCCAAAACUUGAUCACUUGCUAAAGAGAAAGUAGGGAAAGUGCCAAUUAAAGCAAUUUAAAAUUUCAAACUAUAAGCAUAUUACUACUUUCAAUGUAAUGGCAAGGCUAAGAGAAAGCAACCGGAGUUUCGUAAAAAAAACAGAAUGUGUGUGCAUGGUUUAGAUAAUGAAAUGAAUACGAGGAUUUGUAAGCAAUUAUGAGACGGUAAUUUGUGGAAUAAAUGGAAGUAAGUGAAGGAAAAUUACCUUGACUUCAGAAGCGGGAUUCAUUAGUUGAUGAUGUUCUUUUUGGUUGUUGUAGCGAUCGAUGACAGAUUUCAUGCUGAUAAAAGUGAGUCAACAUCAGUAUUGUAAAAGGCGGAUGCCACUUCGUAGUUCCUGUCGGUACACUUGAUGGAUUUGGGCACUACCUUACUUUUGCACAGUGAUUGUGUUUCUAAGCAUUACUAAUUUAUUAUUAUUGUAGUGGCUAAUUUUAAGAAAAUAUGAACGUAUCUUCCAAAUUACCUAACCAAUGAAAGAAUAAGGAUUUAAAGAUCAACAACUUACUUUAUGGUAUGAGAUGAUGAUGAUGAUGAAAUUAAUUAAGAGUAAUUAGUAGAUGAAGGAAAAUAAAAAAAAAUGCACGUAAUAAUUAGUUUAUUAUUAACAGCUUGUAACUAAUGUUAUCAUGGUAAGCAACUGUCUGUCUUAUGAUAAACUAGUCUAGUGUAGCUACAAAUAAAAUUCUGGCAAGAAAUGACUAAAUAAUUAACCUUUUUGCUAAGUACAUUAAUGGUUGAAUCUAUCAUAGGUUAUAGAUCAAUUAUUCAAACAAACCUUCAGUACAUCUUUCUGCCAUCAUUAACACUUCGAAUUAAAGAGUAGCAAUUAAUGUUAUUAAUAUUAAUCUCAAGUGAAAGCGAAAUUUGGUGAGAAAUUACAUCUUCCAUCUUCAUCUGAAUCAACUCACACCUUCUUAGAUUUUUGAAUAAUUAGAUUCACACUUUGUAUGUAAUGCAAGUUACUUAUUUUUCAAAUAUGAGGAUUUGAAAAAUCAUUUCAUAUACUUUGUUCAUUAGAACGAGAGAGAAGGAAAUGCAUUAAUCAUUUACCUGUUCAAAGAUUGCAUAUUUUAUCAUUUUUCUUUUGUACAAAAGAGAUUACUCUAAAAGAUGUUAUUGGGUUUUAUACUUGUCGAGAGUUUAGUAUGAGGUGUGUGUAAUUAUUUUUUGAUUUUGUUAUUUUUUUAGAAUUCUUACAAGAUAUUAGGAUUAUAUAUAUUGCUCAAAGUUAGGAAUUUUUGCCCCCAUAAACUCAUCUACUUAAUUAAUAAACUCAUCUACGUUAUAUUGCUUAUAAACCAAUAAAAAAUGGAGCCUCAAUAUUAAGUUAGUUGGUAUCCACCAAUUUAAGAUCCAUGUAUAGUGAUCUAAAGGAAAAACUAUUAACAAUAUAGGAUGUUUUUAGUGCUUACUCAUGUUCAUGCAUGCAUAAGCACAUUCGCAAAAUACUUAAGUUUCA
Non-coding RNA from Durio zibethinus, 10920 nucleotides. NCBI's taxonomy places the organism in Eukaryota, Viridiplantae, Streptophyta, Magnoliopsida, Malvales, Malvaceae. The record is from RefSeq and is a predicted model, not a curated record.